ACUCCUACGGGAGGCAGCAGUGAGGAAUAUUGCACAAUGGAGGAAACUCUGAUGCAGCAACGCCGCGUGGAGGAUGACGCAUUUCGGUGUGUAAACUCCUUUUAAGAGGGAAGAUAAUGACGGUACCUCUUGAAUAAGCACCGGCUAACUCCGUGCCAGCAGCCGCGGUAAUACGGAGGGUGCAAGCGUUACUCGGAAUCACUGGGCGUAAAGGGUGCGUAGGCUGGCUUUUAAGUCAGAUGUG
This 244-nucleotide ribosomal RNA is filed under the name uncultured bacterium. Its description in RNAcentral is "partial 16S ribosomal RNA". It matches the Rfam family "Bacterial small subunit ribosomal RNA", at positions 335 to 596 of the family's 1533-position model. The record is from RNAcentral.